This 763-nucleotide long non-coding RNA is filed under the name Rattus norvegicus (Norway rat). Its description in RNAcentral is "long non-coding RNA NONRATT023548". Lineage: Eukaryota; Metazoa; Chordata; Mammalia; Rodentia; Muridae. The record is from RNAcentral.
AAAUGUAAUCUAGACAAGACUGAACCAGACACAAAAAGAAAUGCACCAAAAAACCUCUGGUGGUGUUUUGGCGGCUUCUUGCCGCUUCCUCGGACUUGGACGGAUUGGCAGAGUGAUGUCAGCUGAUACUGACUCGUGAGGUGUUUUGUUGAAGCAAGACUUGUGGGAUCUUUACUUCAUUGAGAGAAGCACAGCAGAGAACUGCACUUGGUAUCCAUGUGGGCACUGGUCCCUCCUGCUGACACUUGCUGAUUCAUCGGAGGUCUGGCUGUUCCUGCUGGGUGACACCAUUGCUGCUGAUUCAUGUCUGCCAUCUUGUCUGCUGUACUGGACUGCUGGUAUCCUGACAAUUGGAGAUUGAAAUUACCCCAAGGAACUACUUCUAAACUACAGACAGCAGAGCCUCUCGGUUUCCUCUGGAUAGACCUGCCGAUGCUGAUUCGUGUGAACUGCACUGAUUAUAUCCUGACAGCACAGUUGGAUUUUCUCCAAAGAACUAUUUCUAACAAGUUCACUUCCCUGUAACCUAAUAACCUCUUUCCCUCUACCUUUGGUGGGUGGUGGACUAGAAGGGAGGUUAAAGCGUUUAAGAACCCUUAUUAAAGACCUGCACCGGGGCCAGGGUCUCACUAUAUCACCUUGACUAGCCUGUCUCCAACUCAUGGAGAUGCCCUGUCUUCCUUGUGCCUUGCGGAAGGCAUGCAGCAACAUGGCUGCCAGUCUCUUUUUCACAUAGAGAUCUAGUCAAAUACCAAACAACUCC